Molecule: ribosomal RNA, 248 nt
Filed under: uncultured bacterium
Lineage: Bacteria
Description: partial 16S ribosomal RNA
Rfam family: Bacterial small subunit ribosomal RNA
Source: RNAcentral
UGAGUAACACGUAUCCAACCUGCCGUCUACUCUUGGACAGCCUUCUGAAAGGGAGAUUAAUACAAGAUGGCAUCAUGAGUCCGCAUGUUCACAUGAUUAAAGGUAUUUCGGUAGACGAUGGGGAUGCGUUCCAUUAGAUAGUAGGCGGGGUAACGGCCCACCUAGUCUUCGAUGGAUAGGGGUUCUGAGAGGAAGGUCCCCCACAUUGGAACUGAGACACGGUCCAAACUCCUACGGGAGGCAGCAUG